This 305-nucleotide ribosomal RNA is filed under the name uncultured bacterium. RNAcentral's name for it is "bacterial SSU rRNA". It matches the Rfam family "Bacterial small subunit ribosomal RNA", at positions 337 to 635 of the family's 1533-position model. The record is from RNAcentral.
GCCUACGGGGGGCAGCAGUAGGGAAUUUUCGUCAAUGGGCGCAAGCCUGAACGAGCAAUGCCGCGUGAACGAGGAAGGUCUUCGGAUCGUAAAGUUCUGUUGAAGGGGAAAAAGAGCGGAGAGAGAAAAUGGUCUCCGAUUGAUAUUACCCUUCGAGGAAGUCACGGCUAACUACGUGCCAGCAGCCGCGGUAAUACGUAGGUGGCGAGCGUUAUCCGGAAUGAUUGGGCGUAAAGGGUGCGUAGGCGGCCUGCUAAGUCUGGAGUGAAAGGUACCGGCUCAACCGGUACAGGCUCUGGAAACUG